UGUGAAGCCGUUGCUGGCGUGGUUCUGCCCU
Molecule: non-coding RNA, 31 nt
Filed under: Homo sapiens (human)
Lineage: Eukaryota; Metazoa; Chordata; Mammalia; Primates; Hominidae
Source: RNAcentral